AACGAACGCUGGCGGCAUGCCUAACACAUGCAAGUCGAACGAGACCUUCGGGUCUAGUGGCGCACGGGUGCGUAGCGCGUGGGAACCUGCCCUUAGGUUCGGAAUAACUCCCCGAAAGGGGUGCUAAUACCGGAUAAUGUCUUCGGACCAAAGAUUUAUCGCCUUUGGAUGGGCCCGCGUUGGAUUAGCUAGUUGGUUGGGUAAAAGCCUACCAAGGCGACGAUCCAUAGCUGGUCUGAGAGGAUGAUCAGCCACACUGGGACUGAGACACGGCCCAGACUCCUACGGGAGGCAGCAGUGGGGAAUAUUGGACAAUGGGCGAAAGCCUGAUCCAGCAAUGCCGCGUGAGUGAUGAAGGCCUUAGGGUUGUAAAGCUCUUUUACCCGGGAUGAUAAUGACAGUACCGGGAGAAUAAGCUCCGGCUAACUCCGUG
RNAcentral lists this ribosomal RNA (433 nucleotides) under uncultured bacterium. RNAcentral's name for it is "partial 16S ribosomal RNA". It matches the Rfam family "Bacterial small subunit ribosomal RNA", at positions 29 to 507 of the family's 1533-position model. The record is from RNAcentral.